Molecule: ribosomal RNA, 554 nt
Filed under: Mola mola (ocean sunfish)
Lineage: Eukaryota; Metazoa; Chordata; Actinopteri; Tetraodontiformes; Molidae
Description: partial 16S ribosomal RNA
Rfam family: Bacterial large subunit ribosomal RNA
Source: RNAcentral
AUAAGAGGUCCCGCCUGCCCUGUGACUAUAAGUUUAACGGCCGCGGUAUUUUGACCGUGCGAAGGUAGCGCAAUCACUUGUCUUUUAAAUGGAGACCUGUAUGAAUGGCACGACGAGGGCUUAACUGUCUCCUUUUUCCAGUCAAUGAAACUGAUCUCCCCGUGCAGAAGCGGGGAUAAUCCCAUAAGACGAGAAGACCCUAUGGAGCUUCAGACACUAAAGCAGAUCAUGUUAAACACCCCGACUCCAUCGGACCAAACCAAAUGACCCCCUGCCCUAAUGUCUUUGGUUGGGGCGACCGCGGGGAAAUAAAAAACCCCCAUGUGGACUGAGAGCACCCCUCUUACAUCCCAGAGUUACCACUCUAAUAAACAGAACUUCUGACCUGUCUGAUCCGGCAAUGCCGAUCAACGGACCGAGUUACCCUAGGGAUAACAGCGCAAUCCUCUUUUAGAGCCCAUAUCGACAAGAGGGUUUACGACCUCGAUGUUGGAUCAGGACAUCCUAAUGGUGCAGCCGCUAUUAAGGGUUCGUUUGUUCAACGAUUAAAGUCC